GACGAACGCUGGCGGCGUGCUUAACACAUGCAAGUCGAACGGAAAGGCCCUGCUUUUGUGGGGUGCUCGAGUGGCGAACGGGUGAGUAACACGUGAGUAACCUGCCCUUGACUUUGGGAUAACUUCAGGAAACUGGGGCUAAUACCGGAUAGGAGCUCCUGCUGCAUGGUGGGGGUUGGAAAGUUUCGGCGGUUGGGGAUGGACUCGCGGCUUAUCAGCUUGUUGGUGGGGUAGUGGCUUACCAAGGCUUUGGCGGGUAGCCGGCCUGAGAGGGUGACCGGACACAUUGGGAUUGAGAUAAGGCCCAGACUCCUACGGGAGGCAGCAGUGCGGAAUAUUGCACAAUGGGCGGAAGCCUGAUGCAGUACAGCCGCGUGCGGGAUGACGGCCUUCGGGUUGUAUACCGCUUUCGCCUGUGACGAAGCGUGAGUGACGGUAAUGGGUAAAGAAGCACCGGCUAACUACGUG
RNAcentral lists this ribosomal RNA (468 nucleotides) under uncultured bacterium. RNAcentral describes it as "partial 16S ribosomal RNA". It matches the Rfam family "Bacterial small subunit ribosomal RNA", at positions 28 to 507 of the family's 1533-position model. The record is from RNAcentral.